AGAGAACUAUGCCAGAAUGUUAUUUCCAGAUUGCUUCCUGUAUUUACAAAGGUCUAUAGGUCCACUGAUACGGCUUUGCUACUCUACCCCGACACCCUGAGGACUAAUCUAUUAAUAACAGGUGAAGACAGAACAAGAAAACAAACCAAGAAUUUCCCCUCACCAGCCACCAGCUCUGCCAGCAACUUGAUCUUAGACUUCCCAGCCUCCGUAACGCUUUGAAUAAACUCCAGUCCCCAAGAGAGAGAAUGAGAAUCACCGGAAUACGAAACUUCCCUGUUGGACUUCCCAACAUUCUUGAAUGCACCAAGAUAGCCUCUUGCUGUGAGAUUAAUAAAUGAAUAAAUGCCUCCAUAUUUUUCAAA
Long non-coding RNA from Homo sapiens (human), 365 nucleotides. NCBI's taxonomy places the organism in Eukaryota, Metazoa, Chordata, Mammalia, Primates, Hominidae. The record is from Ensembl.